RNAcentral lists this microRNA precursor (146 nucleotides) under Gossypium arboreum. Its description in RNAcentral is "MIR7502 microRNA precursor family". It matches the Rfam family "MIR7502 microRNA precursor family". The record is from Rfam by way of RNAcentral. Lineage: Eukaryota; Viridiplantae; Streptophyta; Magnoliopsida; Malvales; Malvaceae.
UGUUAAAAAUUUCAUUCAUUUCUACCGUUAAAAACCGAUAUUACUAAAAGAAUAACCAAAUAAUAACACGUGGCAUGUCACUUAUUCUUUAUGAUCACAUAAAAUGACAAAUUUUUAACAAUAAAUAUAGAUGAAACUUUUUAAUA